Molecule: long non-coding RNA, 533 nt
Filed under: Nicotiana tabacum (common tobacco)
Lineage: Eukaryota; Viridiplantae; Streptophyta; Magnoliopsida; Solanales; Solanaceae
Description: long non-coding RNA (NTAB_LNC002826)
Source: RNAcentral
CUCUUCAUUGGUCUUCUCCACUCCCCACAUCCAGGGCCCUCGGCACACUUCGGGUUAUCAAUUUUUGGAGCCUCCCAUUCACCAUCUUCCUCAUCAACCCAAUCUUCAGGCUUUGUUGCCUCAGGAUCAUCGAUCUCUUCAGGCUCGUCAUCCAACCAUCCCUCGGGCUUCUCAGCUUCCUCAUCUUCAAUCUCCAUUGGUGCAUCCUCGUCCCAAUCAUCAGGUUUCUUAGCAUCUGGGUCUGGGAUCUUUUCCCUCUCAUCCCAGUCCUCGGGCUUCUUAUCUUCUGGAUCUGGAAUCGUCUGUGCAGGAAUGAGAGAUGGCUCAAAAUCAUCCUCUGAAAGAAAGCUAGCCUUCUUCUUCUCUUCCCCGUCAAUCAAGAUCAGCAACUCAUUGUCCGGUUUCAGCACAGCAGUGUAGACAUGGGUUAGUUUGUCAGAAGGUACAGAUGGUGGAAAAUUAAGGUGGUGCUCGAUGUACUCCCCACUCUUAGGAUUCUUGUGUUUCAAGAUGAAGUGAACCUUGUUUGUGGC